GUUUUGAAACUUUUAGGGUUUUUGAUUUUAUUCACUUUUUCUUCAAAAAUCUUUUCUUUUAAAAGGUUUAAAUUAUGUGUUUGCUGAUUGUGAGUUGAGACUAGUAUUAUUUGAAAGAUUCAUAGUGAUUUUAUAUCAUUUAAAGAGGUUUCGGCUCAAAUCAGAAGGUUUUAGUUGAGUUUUUGAAGUUUCUGGGCGAUUUUUUAUGAAUACAGCGAUUUUAUUUUGAAUACAGCGAUUCUAUUUUGAAUAUAGCGUUUUUAUUGAAAGUUCCGGCGAAUUUGGCGGCGAAAUUAAAUCUUGAACGCGAGUUCAAGUUCUCCGGCAUAUUAAAUACGUCGGUAAGUCACUGUUUCCGUCGCCGUGAUUCCGCCGGUUUUAUUCCGAGCGUAUUUAAAAAAAGGAAUAGAGUAGAAACAGAUCUGUUUGGUGUUCUUAAUUAUUGACAUCUUCGACACCAUCAACAACUGUAUUACGUCAUACACACACACACACAUCGAUCACAUUCUGCUUUUCAUUUACAUACAUAAAAAGCCACCAUUUCCGACUAACUUCACCACCCACUCGAACCCCACGAACCACUGUAUAUUGUGCAUGUCUGAGCUUCGGUGUAAAAACAGAAGCUAACCACCACCGUCUCCUCCGUCGUACGACCAUCCAUCUCCUGUCACCCUAACACCCUCACCACUCCGAAUAACCGCCGCCUAUCACCACAUCGACACCUCUCCAAACACCACCUCCAUUUUACCGUCCACCGCCGCAUCUCCCCCCUGGACCCUCCAUCGCCGUAGGCCUUCCACACAUCUCCGUUGCCGGUCACCCACCCUUGUUGCUAUUUUUGUCUUAGAAAAGGAGAGAAGCAUAUGUGUGGAGUGAGAGAGAUAUCUGCUUAGAGUUUGAAAGAAAUAGACAGAGUUUUGAUAGAGUGAGAGAGAGAGGUGACGGCAGUUUGUUCCUUUAGGGUUUUGAGGAAAAGUUCAAAUUUUUAUCCAUUCUAUUUAAGUAUCUCUUCACAUCCGU
RNAcentral lists this long non-coding RNA (1020 nucleotides) under Helianthus annuus (common sunflower). RNAcentral describes it as "hypothetical non coding rna". Lineage: Eukaryota; Viridiplantae; Streptophyta; Magnoliopsida; Asterales; Asteraceae. The record is from RNAcentral.